AUUGAACGCUGGCGGCAUGCUUUACACAUGCAAGUCGAACGGUAACAGGUUAAGCUGACGAGUGGCGAACGGGUGAGUAAUGCAUCGGAACGUGCCCGAUCGUGGGGGAUAACGCAGCGAAAGCUGCGCUAAUACCGCAUACGAUCUGAGGAUGAAAGCGGGGGACCGUAAGGCCUCGCGCGAUCGGAGCGGCCGAUGUCAGAUUAGGGAGUUGGUGGGGUAAGGGCUCACCAAGCCAACGAUCUGUAGCCGGUCUGAGAGGGCGACCAGCCAAACGGGGACUGAGACACGGCCCAGACUCCGACGGGAGGCGGCAGUGGGGAAUUUUGGACAAUGGGCGAAAGCCUGAUCCAGCAAUGCCGCGUGCAGGAAGAAGGCCUUCGGGUUGUAAACUGCUUUUGUACGGAGCGAAAAGGCUCUCUCUAAUACAGGGGGCUCAUGACGGUACCGUAAGAAUAAGCACCGGCUAACUACGUGCCAGCCGCCGCCGUAA
This 493-nucleotide ribosomal RNA is filed under the name uncultured bacterium. RNAcentral's name for it is "partial 16S ribosomal RNA". It matches the Rfam family "Bacterial small subunit ribosomal RNA", at positions 29 to 523 of the family's 1533-position model. The record is from RNAcentral.